This 501-nucleotide ribosomal RNA is filed under the name uncultured bacterium. Its description in RNAcentral is "partial 16S ribosomal RNA". It matches the Rfam family "Bacterial small subunit ribosomal RNA", at positions 30 to 523 of the family's 1533-position model. The record is from RNAcentral.
AUUGAACGCUGGCGGCAGGCUUAACACAUGCAAGUCGAGCGGAGCGAGGGUGCUUGCACCUUAGCUUAGCGGCGGACGGGUGAGUAAUGCUUAGGAAUCUGCCUAUUAGUGGGGGACAACAUUCCGAAAGGAAUGCUAAUACCGCAUACGCCCUACGGGGGAAAGCAGGGGAUCUUCGGACCUUGCGCUAAUAGAUGAGCCUAAGUCGGAUUAGCUAGUUGGUGGGGUAAAGGCCUACCAAGGCGACGAUCUGUAGCGGGUCUGAGAGGAUGAUCCGCCACACUGGGCCUUAGGCUCGGCCCAGACGCCUACGGAAGGCAGCAGUGGGGAAUAUUGGACAAUGGGCGGAAGCCUGAUCCAGCCAUGCCGCGUGUGUGAAGAAGGCCUUUUGGUUGUAAAGCACUUUAAGCGAGGAGGAGGCUACUUAGAUUAAUACUCUGGGAUAGUGGACGUUACUCGCAGAAUAAGCACCGGCUAACUCUGUGCCAGCCGCCGCGGUAA